AGUGAACGCUGGCGGUAGGCCUAGCACAUGCAAGUCGAACGGCGGCACAGUAAGAGCUUGCUCUUACGGGUGGCGAGUGGCGGACGGGUGAGGAAUACAUCGGAAUCUACUUUUUCGUGGGGGAUAACGUAGGGAAACUUACGCUAAUACCGCAUACGACCUACGGGUGAAAGCAGGGGAUCUUCGGACCUUGCGCGAUUGAAUGAGCCGAUGUCGGAUUAGCUAGUUGGCGGGGUAAAGGCCCACCAAGGCGACGAUCCGUAGCUGGUCUGAGAGGAUGAUCAGCCACACUGGAACUGAGACACGGUCCAGACUCCUACGGGAGGCAGCAGUGGGGAAUAUUGGACAAUGGGCGCAAGCCUGAUCCAGCCAUACCGCGUGGGUGAAGAAGGCCUUCGGGUUGUAAAGCCCUUUUGUUGGGAAAGAAAAGCAGCAGGUUAAUACCCCGCUGUUCUGACGGUACCCAAAGAAUAAGCACCGGCUAACUUCGUG
Molecule: ribosomal RNA, 492 nt
Filed under: uncultured bacterium
Lineage: Bacteria
Description: partial 16S ribosomal RNA
Rfam family: Bacterial small subunit ribosomal RNA
Source: RNAcentral